Long non-coding RNA from Bombus huntii, 3215 nucleotides. RefSeq lists it as uncharacterized. NCBI's taxonomy places the organism in Eukaryota, Metazoa, Arthropoda, Insecta, Hymenoptera, Apidae. The transcript has 2 exons. The record is from RefSeq and is a predicted model, not a curated record.
UUAGUAAGUAUAGUCAAUAGAAGAAUCAUAAAAUUAUAUCAUUUAGGUUUUAUGUGUUGAAACAUUUCUACGAACGAAUCGAUAAAACCUGAAAACCUAGCUAGGAGCUACACGUAGCAUACCUUGGUACAGAUUUUAUCGAAUAAAGUAGAGGACUACACGCAAACUCAGACGCGAGGAUACCAAUACCGAAACGCAUUUUUUAACAGGACGCACAUAGCGUGUCACGGUAUUGCAGAUAAACAUCGUAAGAAACGAUAUCAUCGAAAACGAUAAACCGAUAUCUACCAACGUACUUAUCACGAUGAAUCUUAUCUUCGCCCUUCAUAAGAAAUUCAUUUAUAUUCACAGAAACCACCCAGACACGAGAGAAAGAAAACGAAGAAACAUCGAAUACUAUAACGCGACGCACGAUGAGACACGAGGAGGCUAUAAUUCGUGGCGACACGCUUACGAAAUUCUCUCGAGUUUGGACUGAUUACGGGAGGAGUUAAGAAGAAACGCGAUACUCGAGAAAAUUAUGAAUUUACAAUUCGGCCGGUAUCUUUCUUCCUGCGAUCCGAUCGGAGAUCGAGAAAAGAAAGGAAAAGAGAAGAAGUGGAAAAAAAGAAAGAAAAAACGGUAGGAUCACCGGGCCUCGGGGCCGAUCUUAUCCCCGGCGUCGUGGCAUCGGCUGCCUACGCACGAACGUCCCCGGUGUCUUGACAGACGUCUGAAUGUGCAUGCGCGCAGCUGCAUUUCACGCGAGACACCCACCGGCAAUUAUGCGCAUGGUGAAACGCACGAGGGUGAAAAAGAAAUCGCGAAAGCCCAUGGCGGGAGCCAGGCCGCGUAUAACCGCGCACCAGAAGGCUGCGCGUAUACUCUAUACGUGGAAAAGACCACGACGACUAUUUGUCAACGGUUGAGAGACGGCAGCGGAUCUUACCCACGGACUCCUCUUCUCUUCUCUUCUCUUCUCUUCUCUUCUCCUCUCUUCUCUUCCCUUCGCUUCUCUUCUCUUCUUUUCUCUUCUCUUCUCGUGGAACGGAGAAAAAGCGGUGGAAAGAGAGAUAGGAGGAGAGAGGACACUUCCCCUUCGCCAGGCCAAGAGAACGGGGCACGUUCUUCUUACGUGGAUCGCGGGUACAAAUCGUCGCGGUAAGAUCAAAAACCAAGCGUACGUUCGCUUUCAGUGCCGUGCCGACAACGAGGCGACCAGAUAAUCCGCCGUAUAAUUUCGUCACCGAGGAACGUGGCUCGCUAUAGCUGAAAACCCCUUUUAGAUCCGGUGGAAACAUCGAUUCCUUGUGUAAAUAUAACGUCAGAGAAAAAUAUGAAGUGGUCGAUUCGAACAAGAUGCUUUUUCAGGAAUGACGUUGCUCCGAUACAGGUAAUACGUAUCGUACGAUAUAAGAAAGUCGAGACGUACGAUUGUGUGCCUACUGACAGAGAAUUUGAUAGUAACGAACAGUUUUGUUCGGUAUCGCGUGUAAAAUCGAAACGAUUACUUCUGAUAGACUACGAACAGCUGGGCUUUCAGAUUUAUGAUGUACCAAGAGGAACAACGAGAUUGCACAACGGUGCAUUUCAAUUCCAAGCUGUUACUACUCGACAGCCAGUUUUAUUACGCAUCUGGUUGAUGAAAUAAUAGAGUCGAGAUCUAAUACGGCCGUCUGGUAUUUAAAUAUGGACCGAUCGUGACUAUUGGUAACCGCAUGAGCGUGAACGAGAACCAUCGAUAUACGUUGCUCCAUACUACGCGAAGAAAUAUAAAAACGCAGGGUUGUCCGGCCUCCUUCGAACAUUGUGCGUUCGCGAGCGCAGCCGCAGUUCGAAUGCCAUACAUUUUCUCUCUCUCCUGUUCGCGCUAGUCUCGCGUGCUGCUCUAGUGGGAAGCAAUUUUUCUAGAGGCGGGCUAAAAUAACCGUUCUCUCCGCGUAGGUACGAGGUUGACGCGGUAUCAGCCUUGCAAGGCUGCUUCUGACAAGGCGACCUCGUUCGAAGUCAGAUAGUAAACUCGUUGUAACGUGACAUUCUCGAGCGUGCAUUCAACGAAUCGCCGGUGUCCAGACAAGCCACUCCUCUACAAGUGCUCUAUAUUGUGAACCGGAGUAAAAGAGAACGUUUAUAUAUGGAUAGAAGCUAUAAGAUUAAUACAAGGGACAUUUUGGUCAAAAAAACCAGCCUAUCAAGUAUACGUCGAAGUGUUCAUCGUCGAACAGGAUGCGUAUAUUCCAACUAAUAUAUUUAUUAGACAGAAAGGAGCACUUCUGGUCGAGCUUUCUCGACCUUACCCCAAGGAUGUGCAGAUCGACAUAAUUUACUUGUAAUUGAAGUCGCAGAUGCAGAAGGAGGUUCCCAGAAAUUCGAUAACUUCCUUUUAACAGUUGAUCGACGGAGUUCAUCGAGUGGAGCAGACAAAAAAUGAUAAGCGGGAGCGUCGAUUUAAAAAUUAUGGCUUUAAAGCUAUGGGAACCUCUGCGAAGUCAAAGUAAAAGUAUUCCCGCUGCAGAACCCGAAAAUCUACAAGAAGUGAAGGAACGGAAAAUCACGAGGUGCACUAUUAAAAGAGCAGUUCGCAGCAACAUAAGUGUAGCAAAAAUCGAAUGUCUGAGACGAAAGCGGUGCAAAUAACGAUAACCGAACAACGGAAGAAAAUACCAGGAAUAAGUAUGUUACGCGGUCUGGCCGAAGAGUACAAUUUUCCGAUUGGUUUCAGGCAAGUUUCGCUUAAGAGUUGUAAAUUAUCGGACACAGGAUGUAUCGGUAACUUUUAAAAUAGCGACGACCAAGGACAAAAUAGUGUAAACAAUUUUAUAAAUAUAACUUAAUAAAAACGUUAUCACUGAUAGGGGCGGGGGUUGUAGCGGCACAUUAGUAAAGAACAAUUCAAAUCAUAUUGUUGUUUUGCCUCGGAGUAUCGAGAUCGUUAGGAUACACGUAACGUAAUAAUAAAUACACUCCGGGCAAAACAGUGUCGCCGCUAUGGACACCCGUCGAACAAGGACAAAUUUGAAUUUUCCAGCGCUUCCCCGACCAGCAUAAAUUGACACGAUCGUGGUCGAAUAGGUAUAUACCGAGUAUCUACCGAUUAUCGAUCAAUAUCUACGAGUUAUCAGCGAGCAAUUAUACAAUGUCUUAGCGAAUACGUUUGUACAAGCGUCUCUCGACAGUAUUUAUGUUUAUUAAUUUAUUUAAUUCUUUUAAAUACAUUUGACGAUUUGCAACAGCAA